Long non-coding RNA from Mastomys coucha (southern multimammate mouse), 177 nucleotides. RefSeq lists it as uncharacterized. The record is from RefSeq and is a predicted model, not a curated record. Lineage: Eukaryota; Metazoa; Chordata; Mammalia; Rodentia; Muridae. The transcript is spliced from 2 exons.
AGAGCCUGGUUGUAUGAGAUUAGAGUCCUACUUACUCAGGAGAUCGAGUAAGAUGAUCCAAAAGUUCACAACUUUCCUGGGCUACAGAGUUCUUGGCCUUAAAAUGGUGAUAUGAAGGAAUUUAAACUUGUGGAAUUGAAUUAAACCCAGUUACAUAGUGGUUGGUUAUUCUCAUAA